This 63-nucleotide transfer RNA is filed under the name Ixodes granulatus. RNAcentral describes it as "tRNA-Tyr". The record is from RNAcentral. Lineage: Eukaryota; Metazoa; Arthropoda; Arachnida; Ixodida; Ixodidae.
GUAAAAUGGCUGAAAAUUUAAGCAAUAAAUUGUAAAUUUAUUAAUGAAUUAAAUUCUUUUACU